RNAcentral lists this ribosomal RNA (253 nucleotides) under uncultured bacterium. RNAcentral's name for it is "partial 16S ribosomal RNA". It matches the Rfam family "Bacterial small subunit ribosomal RNA", at positions 524 to 776 of the family's 1533-position model. The record is from RNAcentral.
UACGGAGGGUGCAAGCGUUAAUCGGAAUUACUGGGCGUAAAGGGUGCGUAGGCGGUUGUUUAAGUCUGUUGUGAAAUCCCCGGGCUCAACCUGGGAAUGGCAAUGGAUACUGGGCAGCUAGAGUGUGUCAGAGGAUGGUGGAAUUCCCGGUGUAGCGGUGAAAUGCGUAGAGAUCGGGAGGAACAUCAGUGGCGAAGGCGGCCAUCUGGGACAACACUGACGCUGAUCUGCGAAAGCUAGGGGAGCAAACAGG